This 201-nucleotide ribosomal RNA is filed under the name uncultured bacterium. RNAcentral describes it as "partial 16S ribosomal RNA". It matches the Rfam family "Bacterial small subunit ribosomal RNA", at positions 328 to 540 of the family's 1533-position model. The record is from RNAcentral.
ACGCUCGACACCUACGGGAGGCAGCAGUUGGGAAUAUUGGACAAUGGAGGAAACUCUGAUCCAGUGACGCCGCGUGAAGGAAGAAGGUCUUCGGAUUGUAAACUUAUUUUGUCAGGGAAGAAAAAUGACUGUACCUGAAGAAAAAGCACCGGCUAACUACGUGCCACACGCCGCGGUAAUCUGAGGCGGGCUGGCGAAGGC